UACCCGGAAUCAUUGCCGCGCCGACCGCCGUGAGGAGCGCGCAUCGUUGUGCCACGCUGUCAUUUGUCGCGUUUCAGAGAGCGCGCGUUUCGCCGCCCAGGGUGCACGGGGAGACGUAGUGCCGCCGGGAAUCGUCACGCGACGUGCUGAUCGUGAAAAUCUGUCCUUCGACGUUUGACGUUCCGACUAGGCUAGGUUAAAGGAUCUCCCGAGUGAUCUGAACUCGGAUCCAUGCGAAUUAGUGAAUCGUGUGCAUCGAUACGUGAGGAUCAAGUGUCAGUCGGCGGGAUUAUAACCUCGUUCACUCACGCCGCUCACACGGAUACGUAUACGGAUCGCUGUGCGCGCUCCCUUUUCAAACCCCUGAACGCUCACGACUCACUCGCGCACGGGACUGUGCCCGCACGCGAGCUGGAUUUCACGCCGAGAAACGAUAACCUCGACUUGUCUUUGAGCGUCCCGCAGCACCAUCAAGCACCGUACCACCACGACGGCUACAACAUGUCUGACCAGACGUUUCACACGCCGAGUUUCGGCGAUGAGGACUUCGAUAUACCGGCCAUUCACCCGCAUUCACAUCAGCAGCAGCAGCAACAUCAUCAACAACAUGACUCUAUGCAGGCAUAUGGUCAGCCGCAGAUGAUGCAAGCUAGUGGUAUGCAGCAGUCGCCGGACGGUCUGAGCCUGGAUGCUGGAGGGUAUCAGCAACAGCUCUAUCUGCAGCAGGAACACCCGAUGCAGCCGAUCAACGUUAGCUCGGCGUACGGCGGUUCUCAAAGCUCGUAUGCAACAAUGAGCUCUCCGCGCCAGCAACAACAACACAAUGGUCAACAGCUGCUGCUGAUGCAGCAGCAGCAACAGCAGCAGCAACAGCAGCAAGUUCAGAUGCAACAUAUGCAGUACAUGCACUCUCAGCAGCAGCAGCAGCAGCAGCAGCAGCAAUUACAGCAACAACAACAACAAAUGCAAUACAGAAGUCCGACCGGAGGCAGUCCGACUGCUAUGCAAGCUAAUAGUAUCCCGGAAACGAAUAACAACACUACGACCAGCGAAGAUAGCGACGACAGCACUCCGCACUCUGGAAUGAUUACGGUGGUUAAACGUGAGCCGCCAUCGCCAGAGGCAACCGAGGCUGGAGCGAAGAAUCAGAGGAAAGCGAAGCCACAAAAGAAAAAGAAGAAGAAAGAUCCCAAUGAGCCACAAAAGCCAGUGUCGGCGUACGCCCUUUUCUUCCGAGACACUCAGGCAGUGAUCAAGGGGAAGCAUCCGAACGCUAGCUUCGGCGAGGUAUCUAAAAUUGUCGCGUCAAUGUGGGACGCGUUAGAUAUUGAACACAAAAACUAUUACAAAAAGAAAACCGAGGCAGCUAAGAAGGAAUACUUGAAAGCUCUCGCGGCGUACAGAGCGUCAUUGGUGAGCAAAGGCGCGGGUGAGAACGAACAGAAGCAGCAGGCGCAACAGCAAGCGCAGCAACAAAUGCAAUACAGCGGAUACACGGGCUACGCCAGCAACGCUGCACCCGGGAGUGUAACAUAUCAGGUCUACAGUCCUCAGCAUGAACCUCCGUCGCCCCAACAGCAGCAGCAACAGCAGCAGCAGCAACAGAUGACUAUCAAUAAAAAGUCACCCCAUCACUUGGCGAUGCAAGGAAAUUCUCAACAACAGAGUUUAAUGAGCAACGUGAUGGCACCACCACACAUGACGCAACAGCAGCAGCACAUGCAACAGCAGGUCUCACAACAGCAAUAUAUGCAGGUGUCUCAGCAGCAGCAGGUGCAACAGGUGCAAGUGCAGCAACAACAGCAGCAGCAAAUAAUACACAUGAGCCCACCCAGAGCGGACUUUAUAAAAUCCGAGGAUAUAUCGAUAAAAUCUGACACUCUGUCGAGUUGUUCGUCGCCGGUGAGCGCCGCGCAAGUGGCCAUGACGGGGCAAGGCCCGCCGCCGUGCAUACAUCAAGGAUGCCCGAAUCCUGCCAUAUCCAAUAACGAGUGGGAGGAUGAGUACUGCAGUAACGAAUGCGUGGUCAGCCAUUGCAGGUUGGCGGACGUGUUUAACAACUGGGUAUCCUCAAAUCAAAAUCCACAACAAAAUUACUCCACGGUUAAAUAAGUGUCCCACGGGAGAACUAUCAACUACUCAAUGGCCUCACAGCUUAAUGAUCCAUUGUUAACCUGUAAAGAUUUACUGGCAAACGCGCGGUGAGGAAGGAUCGGCUCUUUCAAUCGAAUGGCUUCAACUUGUGUUUCGGAACAACUUUUUUACACUCGUCACAGUGCGACGCAGUCGGCAAACAUGAUACAGUACAAGCAAACGCGGAAGCAGCGUGUACAAGCCGCGAUAAACAAGGUUUCGUACCGUGUUCGACGCGUUCUGUUCGCGAUGUGAGAACAAUAGUGAUCAAAGGGAAGAGGAUUUACACGCACAGCGGACCCGUAUUACGUGCCAUGGCCAGUAACUGUCAUCUUUCGUUUUGAUACGCGAGUUUUUUUUUAAUUAAGAAUUUAGUAGAUGCACAAUGUUUUAAUUGCCCGAGAGAAUGACGCGUGCACUCCGUUUCAACUACAUCACUGCAUAAUUGAAUGAUUACUCUUGCAACACGCAAUCCUGGAAAAAUUAUGAUACUGUAAUUUUUUCAAGAUAAAAACAAGCUAUAUCAAGUUACAUUGCUACAUCGUUUAAUUUUUACUCUCAUCUCUCGUGUGUGUUGGCGUCACAUACGCAUUUUUUGUUUCUCCCUCGUAUUUUUUUUCUGCGAUAACGAUGAAAGAUACUUGAUGUAUUUUGUAUGAUAUUCCGAUCUCCGUGUUCUCCCUUCCGCGGAAGAGGGUUUCGUCACUCCCCCGUUUCGUUUGCGGGACGAGUAACACGGGAUACAAUAUUGACAACCGAUAAACGAAGCAUCGCAUCCGUAAUAUAAACACCGUGCAUUCUCGCAGAGAUAAAUAUUACACUAUUAAUAUUGUUAGCCCCGUCACGCAGUUUUAGAAGUUAGGUAUUACGCAUUUAGAGAUUAGGCCCGUAACCGAGUAAAGCCAGGACCUCAUUGUGCACAAUUUAUUUUUAUAUCGAUACUACAAACAACCGAUCAAUAGUACAGUACAGUUUUCAUACGCGAAAUUUCGUAAUAGCAAGGGGAAAAAAGUGUAACGUCAGAGCGGUCGAAGCGAUCGAGUGUCCGAUAUUUUUUUAAACGCAUUUCAACGUUGCACCACGUGCGAAAUCUUUCCCACUUGUUUUAAUCUUUAUUAAUGUCCUUGAAGAAUACAUCGCCGGUGGCGAAUGCAAAUAAUCUGGCCAUCUUAAUAAACCGUGCAAAAGAUUGCUUUCUGAGUACAAAAGGGACAGAAAAUUCGCGUUGUUCGGUUUGCUCGAUGGACACGGGGAAUCGGCGUUGCUGGCGGUGAAACAACGCGUUGAGCGUCGUGCGAAUAGUAUUCCGUAUUCUCGAUCUGCUUUCCGGAUUCAGUCGCGACGGUCAGAUCAGUUGCAUUUCAUAUUCAUGCGACCUCCGGUUGAGAGGCGUUCGUAGGCCUUGAAAUAAACCGGUGUGAACAAUCUUCCCGUACACGAGCAAAGAGACGUGUGUCGUUCCGUGCUAAGUUCAUCAGCAAUGAUUUCGCGAUCUCCGACGCGGAUAUGCAAAUUGUCUGUUAGUAAAAAAUAUCGAGAAAAAGAGAGAAAAAACGCGUCUGUUGGCAGUUUGUUCGAACGGACUGAUUUCGUUUUUUCUUCGUUUCUUUAUACGGAUUAUAGCGAAUGUUUUUUCAUAUCUUUUUGUAAAUACACAGAAUAUAUAUUCCGUAGAUUUGUAAGGCUAUAAUAUAAACACAUACAAUAGAUAUUGUAUCAUAUAUUAGUAUAAUACAAUUUGUAGUAUAUUAUGCAGGCAUAUAAAUAUAUACACACACACAUACACACGGGUGCUCGGAAUUUUCCGAUAGUCGAUCCCCACGAGCUCGGGGUCUUAAAUUAUUCGGGUUAUUCGCGGGCAGAUGUAAUUCCGGCAGCUGGAAUGCCGAGCGGAAUUAAACGACGUAUCUCGAGAAGGGAGCAAUAAAUACUUCGACUAUUAAAUAGUCGGAUUCUAACAUCCUUCUCACGAUACAUCUAGCUUCGCUCUUUUUGCUCUUUUACCUAAAAUUCGUGAUCGAACCGAUGAUCGGUCACCGUUCUAUCGAACGAUAAUUUGAGCAAUUUAAGAUUUCAGCUCGAGAUCUAAACUGCUUGGAUUGCUUAUGUCCGAUUGGAAAAUUGCGAGCGCUAAAUAUGUAUAUAUGUAUAUAUAUGUAUGUACAUGUAUAUAUAUAUACAAUGUGUCCUAUUGAAGUAUUCAGACAGAAUUUGAAAAUGAUAGAUUUUAGGUAAAAAUGUUUCAAACAAUAGCAUACGAGUAUAUGUGUGCGUGUGUGUGUGAGAGAGAGACGCCGGAGACAUAUUUUUUGGUGGACAAAAUGCCUCCGUUUCGAACAUUAGUUUUAGAACGAAGACGCUGCUGUCCACGAGAGAACGAUUUCUCCCGCGAGCAAGCCUCUUUUGUUUCAGACGUUUUGCGGAAAAGGAUAUCCUAUCAUUUUUGAAUCGUUAGGCGUGCUAUUUCAAACAGGACAUCCUGUAUGUAUGUAUAAAUAUAUGUAUAUUCUUUUGACCUUACAUGUGUGUAUGCGCGCAUACAUGCAUGCAGGGUUAAAAGGAUAAUUAUACUUGAUCAACUUCGAUAAGAUUGGAUAUAUUAAUUUACCCGAAACAGCCCGUUUAGACAACGGGACUGUACAAAUAUAUUUGCGAGUUAAUAGACUAGUAAUAAAGGAGGAUGCGACGAGGAGGGGGAUGGAAACGGAAGCGAAUUUCCAGUCGCUCGUGCGUGAAAACGCAGAAGUUUCGAUAGAAAUAUAAGUGCAUGGGCAUUUCGACGAGCGAAACCUCUCGCGACCGCGAUCCGCCGCCACGCAGAGUUCCGCAGAGUUCAUGCCAUUCGUUCGGUCGAUCGAGAUGUCCGUUCUUGACGCUUAUGUUCCUAUAUAGAUUUCUGUGCAGGGGGCCCGGUCCUCGGCAACACGAGAAACAAAAAAGAACGCAACUUUUGCAACGUUGAUCAUAAUCAUAUAAAUCUGUACUAAAAGAAAUAAAUUUAGAAGGUAUCGAGCAUGUAUUGUAGCGCUAGCACUAUACAUCAAAUGCUAAUAUAUCACGGUGAUUUCCAAUGAAUUUAUGUUAAAUUUUUAUUGUUUUAUGUACAAUGACAUAAUUAAACGAUUUCAGUCCCGACAUCAC
RNAcentral lists this unclassified non-coding RNA (5274 nucleotides) under Ooceraea biroi (clonal raider ant). Its description in RNAcentral is "tOX high mobility group box family member 3, transcript variant X1". The record is from RNAcentral. Lineage: Eukaryota; Metazoa; Arthropoda; Insecta; Hymenoptera; Formicidae.